GUCAGCCGCCGCGGUAACACCGGCGGCCCGAGUGGUGAUCGUGAUUAUUGGGUCUAAGGGUCCGUAGCCGGUUUGGUCAGUCCUCCGGGAAAUCUGAUAGCUCAACUAUUAGGCUUUCGGGGGAUACUGCCAGACUGGAACCGGGAGAGGUAAGAGGUACUACAGGGGUAGGAGUGAAAUCUUGUAAUCCCUGUGGGACCACCUGUGGCGAAGGCGUCUUACCAGAACGGGUUCGACGGUGAGGGACGAAAGCUGGGGGCACGAACCGGAUUAGAUACCCGGGUAGUCCCAGCCGUAAACGAUGCUCGCUAGGUGUCAGGCAUGGCGCGACCGUGUCUGGUGCCGCAGGGAAGCCGUGAAGCGAGCCACCUGGGAAGUACGGCCGCAAGGCUGAAACUUAAAGGAAUUGGCGGGGGAGCACAACAACGGGUGGAGCCCUGCGGUUUAAUUGGACUCAACGCCGGACAACUCACCGGGGGCGACAGCAAUAUGUAGGCCAAGCUGAAGACUUUGCCUGAAUCGCUGAGAAGUGGUGCAUGG
RNAcentral lists this ribosomal RNA (540 nucleotides) under uncultured archaeon. RNAcentral describes it as "bacterial SSU rRNA". It matches the Rfam family "Archaeal small subunit ribosomal RNA", at positions 457 to 997 of the family's 1478-position model. The record is from RNAcentral.